CCUGCCUAUGUCAAAGUUACUUAAACAUUGUAUAACUACUUAAUAUUAUAAGAAAUGUUGCCCCAGGCUAUUGUUUGAAUGACGUUUAAUUAGUUGGUAUUUAAUGUCAUAUUGAUUAGGAAGUCUUGUUUAGGAAAUAUUCAUCUGAACUCAGCAUGAGUUUGAUUUUCAUUUGGUUCUGGGGAUUGAACCCAGGACCUUGUCUCAGCUAAACAUGUUCUAGCAUUGAGAUACAACCAAGAAAUGAAUUUUUAAACAGGUCUGUUUCUUAAAUGAAUGUGAGAAAGAAGAAUACAGUAUACAGAGGUUAAUAAUGAAAGUUCAUGAAAGAAUUUAGAAAGUAAAAAUGAAACCAUAAUUAAAAGAAACUCAAAUUUUAUUCCUUGACUUAUACAGGAGCUUUUAAGGUCUCUAGUAGGUGGAUUCUUUUGGGGUCUCCCCACCUCCUUUUAAAGAUAUAAGAUCUAAUGGUCCUGAGUAAUUGGGAAGCUUAUCUUUCAGAUAUAAGAAGCUCUCUGGAUCUUGUGUACUAACCAAUCCUCUUAGGUUUAGGUGGACACAAUAUCUUUAUUUUACAUUUAUGUGGUGCUGAGGAUCUAACCCAGUGCUUUGGGCAUGCUAGGCGAGCAUUCUACCACCGAGCCACGACCCCAGCCCUUGACUUGUUUUUUAAAAGUCACCAUUGAUGUCACUAAAAAUUUCUUGUGUAAGACUAGGGGUGGGGGGGACAAAAACAAAAAGACUCUAGGGAAUUUUUAAACUAAUAUGCAAGUACUGGUUUGAAAGAUCAUCUCAGUAUGGCAAUAUGUAAAUCAAUGGAUGUGUAACUGAUGUGAUUCUGCAAUCUGUAUAUGGGGUAAAAAUGGGAGUUCAUAACCCACUUGAAUCAAAGUGUGAAAUAUGAUAUAUCAAGAAAUAUGUAAUGUUUUGAACAACCAACAAUAAAAAAUUAAAAAAAAAAAAAAAA
Molecule: long non-coding RNA, 967 nt
Organism: Marmota monax (woodchuck)
Lineage: Eukaryota; Metazoa; Chordata; Mammalia; Rodentia; Sciuridae
Exons: 2
Source: RefSeq, a predicted model, not a curated record